GCGGCCGCCGGUCCCCUCACGAUCCUCCGCCAUGUUGGCCGUGGAUCUCGCCGGUUCCGGGUCCCGCCGUGUCCCUCGGUUCCCUCGGGCAGGGGGCGACAGGCGUGUUGAGGCUAUCUCGAGCCCCCUCGGAGGAGAAGGAUGAUCUUGGAAGAGGGAGCCCAGCUUGGCAUGGUCCCCAUUCCCGCUGUCAUGUGUGAAGAGAGAUGGAGAAAAAUACAUCCAGAGGUGCAGAGCUGGGAUGCAACACAGGCAGCAUGUCCAAGGCUGUGCUGCUCACCCAAAGAACCCAGUAGCAAGAGCAACAAAACAGUAAUGAGCUGGAAAAACACAACGAGGACCCCCGUGGUGAAUCUGCUGGGUCUCCAGACAAGGAAAUUCACACUCUGCAGAGGACACAGCGUUGGCUCCAGGGCUAAACCAGCCCGUUCCCACGGGGCUUCUGUUGUCCUAAACCCAUGUCCUUCUGGUUAGACACUCCUCCCCUCCCUGGGGAGUUCUUGGUCAGAAAAAUAUUUCCAUCUGUUAUUGGGAGAUUGCCUGAAUUGUUGGUAUCUUAAUAAA
This is a long non-coding RNA of Motacilla alba alba, 564 nucleotides long. RefSeq lists it as uncharacterized. The record is from RefSeq and is a predicted model, not a curated record. Lineage: Eukaryota; Metazoa; Chordata; Aves; Passeriformes; Motacillidae. The transcript is spliced from 3 exons.